UCUUAACGGAAAGCCGCAGUGAAUAGGCCCAAGCGACUGUUUAGCAAAAACGCUGCUCUCUGCGAAGCCGUAAGGCGAAGUAUAGGGGGUAGCACCUGCCCGGUGCUGGAAGGUUAAGGAGAGGGGUUAGCGUAAGCGAAGCUCUGAACUGAAGCCCCAGUAAACGGCGGCCGUAACUAUAACGGUCCUAAGGUAGCGAAAUUCCUUGUCGGGUAAGUUCCGACCCGCACGAAAGGUGUAACGAUUUGGGCACUGUCUCAACCAGAGACUCGGUGAAAUUAUAGUACCUGUGAAGAUGCAGGUUACCCGCGACAGGACGGAAAGACCCCGUGGAGCUUUACUGUAGCCUGAUAUUGAAUUUUGGUACAGUUUGUACAGGAUAGGCGGGAGCCUUUGAAACCGGAGCGCUAGCUUCGGUGGAGGCGCUGGUGGGAUACCGCCCUGACUGUAUUGAAAUUCUAACCUACGGGUCUUAUCGACCCGGGAGACAGUGUCAGGUGGGCAGUUUGACUGGGGCGGUCGCCUCCUAAAGUGUAACGGAGGCGCCCAAAGGUUCCCUCAGAAUGGUUGGAAAUCAUUCGUAGAGUGCAAAGGCAUAAGGGAGCUUGACUGCGAGACCUACAAGUCGAGCAGGGACGAAAGUCGGGCUUAGUGAUCCGGUGGUCCCGCAUGGAAGGGUCAUCGCUCAACGGAUAAAAGCUACCCCGGGGAUAACAGGCUUAUCUCCCCCAAGAGUCCACAUCGACGGGGAGGUUUGGCACCUCGAUGUCGGCUCAUCGCAUCCUGGGGCUGUAGUCGGUCCCAAGGGUUGGGCUGUUCGCCCAUUAAAGCGGUACGCGAGCUGGGUUCAGAACGUCGUGAGACCGUUCGGUCCCUAUCCGU
Molecule: ribosomal RNA, 882 nt
Filed under: Francisella tularensis subsp. holarctica
Lineage: Bacteria; Pseudomonadati; Pseudomonadota; Gammaproteobacteria; Thiotrichales; Francisellaceae
Description: partial 23S ribosomal RNA
Rfam family: Bacterial large subunit ribosomal RNA
Source: RNAcentral